RNAcentral lists this non-coding RNA (109 nucleotides) under Bacillus sp. (in: firmicutes). Its description in RNAcentral is "Bacillus sp. TPP sequence". It matches the Rfam family "TPP riboswitch aptamer (THI element)". From Rfam's summary of the family: Vitamin B(1) in its active form thiamin pyrophosphate (TPP) is an essential coenzyme that is synthesised by coupling of pyrimidine and thiazole moieties in bacteria. The previously detected thiamin-regulatory element, thi box was extended, resulting in a new, highly conserved RNA secondary structure, the THI element, which is widely distributed in eubacteria and also occurs in some archaea. Analysis of operon structures identified a large number of new candidate thiamin-regulated genes, mostly transporters, in various prokaryotic organisms. Lineage: Bacteria; Bacillati; Bacillota; Bacilli; Caryophanales; Bacillaceae. The record is from RNAcentral. RNAcentral also lists the same sequence under 1 other name.
CAAAACCACUGGGGGAGCCUUUUAAAGGCUGAGAUUAAAGUGUACUACUUUAAGACCCUUUGAACCUGAUCUAGUUCAUACUAGCGGAGGGAAGUGUAGUCUGAAUGAU